Molecule: ribosomal RNA, 30 nt
Filed under: Glutinoglossum glutinosum
Lineage: Eukaryota; Fungi; Ascomycota; Geoglossomycetes; Geoglossales; Geoglossaceae
Description: partial 28S ribosomal RNA
Source: RNAcentral
UGACCUCGGAUCAGUAGGAUACCCGCUGAA